AAUCCAUGCAUCAAACAUUUCCGAAGUAAUUCUUUAAAUCAUUCCCAAGCUUCAUAUAACAUUUCAUCCUCUAAUUGCUAAAAAUAUGUGAUGUUAUUUCGAAGCUU
Gossypium raimondii (Peruvian cotton) is the source of this 107-nucleotide non-coding RNA. The record is from Rfam. NCBI's taxonomy places the organism in Eukaryota, Viridiplantae, Streptophyta, Magnoliopsida, Malvales, Malvaceae.